This 460-nucleotide ribosomal RNA is filed under the name uncultured bacterium. Its description in RNAcentral is "partial 16S ribosomal RNA". It matches the Rfam family "Bacterial small subunit ribosomal RNA", at positions 338 to 795 of the family's 1533-position model. The record is from RNAcentral.
CCUACGGGUGACAGCAGUGAGGAAUAUUGGUCAAUGGGCGCGAGCCUGAACCAGCCAAGUAGCGUGAAGGAUGACUGCCCUACGGGUUGUAAACUUCUUUUAUAAAGGAAUAAAGUGAGGCACGUGUGCCUUAUUGUAUGUCCUUUAUGAAUAAGGAUCGGCUAACUCCGUGCCAGCAGCCGCGGUAAUACGGAGGAUCCGAGCGUUAUCCGGAUUUAUUGGGUGUAAAGGGAGCGUAGAUGGGUUGUUAAGUCAGUUGUGAAAGUUUGCGGCUCAACCGUAAAAUUGCAAUGGAUACUGGCAGUCUUGAGUACAGUUGAGGUAGGCGGAAUUCGUGGUGUAGCGGUGAAAUGCUUAGAUAUCACGAAGAACUCCGAUUGCGAAGGCAGCUUACUAAACUGCCACUGACAUUGAUGCUCGAAAGUGUGGGUAUCAAACAGGAUUAGAUACCCUUGUAGUC